Molecule: ribosomal RNA, 529 nt
Filed under: uncultured bacterium
Lineage: Bacteria
Description: bacterial SSU rRNA
Rfam family: Bacterial small subunit ribosomal RNA
Source: RNAcentral
CCUUGACAUCCAGAGAACUUAGCAGAGAUGCUUUGGUGCCUUCGGGAACUCUGAGACAGGUGCUGCAUGGCUGUCGUCAGCUCGUGUUGUGAAAUGUUGGGUUAAGUCCGCAACGAGCGCAACCCUUAUCCUUUGUUGCCAGCGGUUCGGCCGGGAACUCAAAGGAGACUGCCGGUGAUAAACCGGAGGAAGGUGGGGAUGACGUCAAGUCAUCAUGGCCCUUACGGCCAGGGCUACACACGUGCUACAAUGGCGCAUACAAAGAGAAGCGACCUCGCGAGAGCAAGCGGACCUCAUAAAGUGCGUCGUAGUCCGGAUUGGAGUCUGCAACUCGACUCCAUGAAGUCGGAAUCGCUAGUAAUCGUAGAUCAGAAUGCUACGGUGAAUACGUUCCCGGGCCUUGUACACACCGCCCGUCACACCAUGGGAGUGGGUUGCAAAAGAAGUAGGUAGCUUAACCUUCGGGAGGGCGCUUACCACUUUGUGAUUCAUGACUGGGGUGAAGUCGUAACAAGGUAAGCGUAGACGU